RNAcentral lists this long non-coding RNA (880 nucleotides) under Astyanax mexicanus (Mexican tetra). Its description in RNAcentral is "lncRNA (ENSAMXG00005007519.1)". Lineage: Eukaryota; Metazoa; Chordata; Actinopteri; Characiformes; Acestrorhamphidae. The record is from RNAcentral.
CUUUUUGAAUGAUAUAUCUUACAAAUAUGAUCUAUAUGAUUAUGUUAUGUUAGUACCAAAUCUGAUCACGUGCCUUAAAAGGUUAUUUGUUUUUUACAGCUCAGAAGAUCCACGUGAGCUCAGCAACACACCUGGCUCUGAUGAGAGACAACGCAUAUGAGCUUCAUCUUAGAGGAGAGAUUGAAGUGAAGGGAAAGGGGAAAAUGAACACAUAUUGGCUGAUCGGUAACAAAAACUACAGCGUUCAGAACGACAGUUUGGUGUGUCACUGGAAUCCCAACCUGGCCAGAAAGAAGAAGACCCCGACAGGAAGCAACGUCUCUGUGGACAACGUGGAGAACUGUGCGGGCAGCUACGGGACACUGGGCUCCAUGAUGGGGGGCGAGGAGAACCCCUCCAGCCCACAGGUCCAGAGAGAGACUUCUCUACCGGGGCUGGUGCCGCACUGCUGAGCAAGAGUGUGAGUGACACAGACAUAAUGGAGAAUUCUCUGAGAGGUUAGAGCAGUGUUUCUUAAUCCUGGUCCUCGAGACAUCCUGCUUUGAACACUGUAGAAGAAUCGAUGCUUUAACUUUAACCCCUCUGCAACUAAUUAAGACUUAAAGUACCUAUUAAUGAGCUGUAUAUUUGAAUCAGGGGUGGGUUUCCCGAAUGAUUCGUAAUGCUAAGAACUUCAAUAACUUAAAUUUAAGAUUGAUGGUUAAUUAAAGAGUGUUUCCCAAACCCAUGCGUAACUAAAGUACUACAUUAACUCGCUUGCAGAUUAACGAGUAACCCGACCCAGUCGUUAUUCAAAAAUAACUACUUUAAAGGGAAUUCUGCUUGCAGUUCAGCACCUUAAACACCAGGGACAAUUUUGAGGGAGAAAAAAAAAUAUUUU